CUACGGACUUGAUUGUAUUGAGCCUUGGUAUGGAAACCUGCUAAGUGGUAACUUCCAAAUUCAGAGAAACCCUGGAAUAAAAAAAGGGCAAUCCUGAGCCAAAUCCGUGUUUUGAGAAGGGAUUCUCGAACUAGAAUACAAAGGAAAAGGAUAGGUGCAGAGACUCAAUGGAAGCUGUUCUAACGAAUCGAGUUAAUUACGUUGUGUUGUUAGUGGAAUUCCUUCUUCUUCUAAAUUAGGGAAAGAGGG
Non-coding RNA from Hordeum vulgare subsp. vulgare (domesticated barley), 249 nucleotides. NCBI's taxonomy places the organism in Eukaryota, Viridiplantae, Streptophyta, Magnoliopsida, Poales, Poaceae. The record is from Rfam.